Molecule: ribosomal RNA, 253 nt
Filed under: uncultured bacterium
Lineage: Bacteria
Description: partial 16S ribosomal RNA
Rfam family: Bacterial small subunit ribosomal RNA
Source: RNAcentral
UACAUGGGGUGCAAACGUUGCUCGGAAUUAUUGGGCGUAAAGCGCGCGUAGGCGGUUACUUAAGUCGGAUGUGAAAGCCCUCGGCUUAACUGAGGAAGUGCACCCGAAACUGAGUAGCUAGAGUACGAAAGAGGGUCGCGGAAUUCCCGGUGUAGAGGUGAAAUUCGUAGAUAUCAGGAAGAACACCCGUGGCGAAGGCGGCUCUCUGGGACGUGACUGACGCUGAGACGCGAAAGCGUGGGGAGCGAACAGG